GAAAAACCAGAAAAGAAAUGGGAAAAAAAAA
This 31-nucleotide ribosomal RNA is filed under the name Megalophaedusa sublunellata. Its description in RNAcentral is "partial 5.8S rRNA". The record is from RNAcentral. Lineage: Eukaryota; Metazoa; Mollusca; Gastropoda; Stylommatophora; Clausiliidae.